UGGGGGGCGGGUGGAGGGGACGGGCAGGGAGGCAACCUGGGCAGACCGCCGUGCCCUCUCCCCUUCCCUGCUUCUCUGUUGCAACUCUAGGAACUAAACCCUAACCCCCCUGUCUCAGUUCCUGCUCAGGUUUGAACUCAGCACUAGUCGCAAAUGGGCUGGUCCAAACUGGUGCUGAAGGAGCCGUCAGAAACCGAGGAAAAUUGUGAAAGGGAUCUGUGAGCCAACAAGCCCAAUAAACAAAACAAUGAGACUCAUUAGGAGGCACCUGGGAGAAACAAACAGGCGUUAAUGAAUUGACUGAAUGAGUGAUAGAAGGGAAGAUAAAGGUGGCUGAGCAAGUCCCCGCUUGGCGAGGCGGCGAGUGUUCACUCCCAAUAUCUGGAGUUAAUUAAUGAACCUAACGAUGUGGGAUGACUCUGCACUUGAAUAAUAAGUAAUAAGCCCACUUGCACUGGUGCCUCUUGCACGCCUGCUUCUUCCCUUUGUUCUGAGACUCCUUGGUGGAGAAUUGACUUCAUUUCUGAAUGUUAUCUCCAAGGCUUUGACAGAAUUUUGUGAAACGUGAAUUUCCAUUAUAUGUGGUUUUAUGCAACUCAUGAUCCUUGAUGUAUUAACAAUGUGACUGAUUGCCAGGAAGCUAUGGGCAUAUUGGAAACAUUGUUUUAAAGCAUGCAAUUAAGUUAUGUUCAAAAAAUAAAAGCACUGACCAAACCAAAACAUAGACAUUACUUUAUAAAACCCAGACCCUCCAGUAGUAAUUUGCAACACAUCAUGUACUGACAUUUUAGUAAAAAUGGCUGUAUUCCUUU
Pipistrellus kuhlii (Kuhl's pipistrelle) is the source of this 812-nucleotide long non-coding RNA. RefSeq lists it as uncharacterized. The record is from RefSeq and is a predicted model, not a curated record. The transcript is spliced from 2 exons. NCBI's taxonomy places the organism in Eukaryota, Metazoa, Chordata, Mammalia, Chiroptera, Vespertilionidae.